GCCCGGGUGAUGGAACUGGCAGACAUACCGGACUUAAAAUCCGGAGCCGAAAGGCAUACGGGUUCGACCCCCGUCCCGGGCA
RNAcentral lists this transfer RNA (82 nucleotides) under Zoogloeaceae bacterium. Its description in RNAcentral is "tRNA-Leu". It matches the Rfam family "tRNA". From Rfam's summary of the family: Transfer RNA (tRNA) molecules are approximately 80 nucleotides in length. Their secondary structure includes four short double-helical elements and three loops (D, anti-codon, and T loops). Further hydrogen bonds mediate the characteristic L-shaped molecular structure. tRNAs have two regions of fundamental functional importance: the anti-codon, which is responsible for specific mRNA codon recognition, and the 3' end, to which the tRNAs corresponding amino acid is attached (by aminoacyl-tRNA synthetases). tRNAs cope with the degeneracy of the genetic code in two manners: having more than one tRNA (with a specific anti-codon) for a particular amino acid; and 'wobble' base-pairing, i.e. permitting non-standard base-pairing at the 3rd anti-codon position. The record is from RNAcentral. Lineage: Bacteria; Pseudomonadati; Pseudomonadota; Betaproteobacteria; Rhodocyclales; Zoogloeaceae.